RNAcentral lists this long non-coding RNA (1478 nucleotides) under Equus caballus (horse). Its description in RNAcentral is "lncRNA (ENSECAG00000048436.1)". The record is from RNAcentral. Lineage: Eukaryota; Metazoa; Chordata; Mammalia; Perissodactyla; Equidae.
UGGGACGCUGCCUCAGCAUGGCCUGAUGAGCGGUGCCAUGUCCGCACCCAGGAUCCGAACCUGCGAAAUGCUGGGCCGCCAAAGCGGAGCAGGAGUUCCUUAAAGGGAUCUAAGAAAAAAGCUUAAGUCAAACAAAUGACUUACCAGGGGUAGGACACUUUGGCGAUAUAGCUUCUUGUAGAUGGAGAUCAUUGAGACCUCCGUGACUGGCGUUCACCUGGGGCUACAGGAAGAACUUUCUCACGCAAAGAUGAAAGUCUUGGCAGCUUGGCACAUUGGCUAGAUUUGAGCAGGAAGUUGGGUGUAAUAAGUAAAAGAACUCUGUGUACACUUGGAAACUGGCUAUGAUUCCAAGAUUGGGAGAACCGUAGAGACCGAUGGAGACCAGCAGGUGGAGAGCAGGAUGAAGUUAACACAUCUGCCUUGAAGAACUUUGCUAUCACCUCACAGUGUGUUUAUUUAAAAACAAACAGAAAUGAAGACCGGCCUCAAACUCCAACUGGCUGUGGAGACAAAGUCAUUACAAACCCCUAGUCGAGUCUUGUUCAUAGGAGAUGCUCCCAAAGACUCCCAAGAUAGCCAUCUCAGACCCACUUAAAAUCUGCUGGCGACUCUGGUCAUUUUGAAGCGUGUGUUUUGAAAGUGUGAGCUUUCCGACGGCUGCGCUCUGGGAACAACAGACGAGGAGGCACACGUUUCCUCAUCUGUGAAAUGGAGAUAAAGAUGCAUCCUUUAAGAUACUGUGAAGAUUCAAUGACUUGAAAAUAUCAGCUAUUGCUGCCUUUAUUGUUCCCCAUCCCCACACAGCUAACCUCUACCGUCCUUGCCUUUCCACUGGCCUGUGUUGCUGAAGACCCAGGGCAUUGGGCUAGAAUUUAGUUAGUCUGGAACCGGCCUGUAUAAGAGCUCACAGAAGCUGCAUCCUCAUCCUUCUCUCCACUUGGAACCGAUGUGCCCAGGAAUUCUAAAUUGCCAACGUUAGGGGAUCAGAUGGUACAAAUUAAACAGCCACCAAUAACCCCCAGCUUCGACAUUCAGAUUGUGCCAAACCUUUGCAAUUAUAAACACAAAGAGCAGCGACAAUUAGCAGAAUAAGAAUCAGAAAAUUUAAAAGGCUGAGAAACUGAAUAUAUGAACAGACAGUGGCCAGACCUUGUAUGACAAUAGGACUCUGACCCACAACCUCUGGAGAAAUAUGCUCAGGACUCAGUUGAUGACUGCCAACUUUCCAUUCUGUGCGCCCCCUUCCAACUCAGGACCAGCCAGAGAAAGCCAAAUAUGCUCCCCAACCAACCACAUAAGAUGCCCUUCUUCUAGUUAGCCCGACUCCAGCUGCCCCAUGCCAACAGCCUCCCGUUAAAGCAUCCUUUGUUCCCACUGUAAAGAUUCCCCAACACCAUGCCUGCCUUUGGUUCUCUACCAAAUGCGAAUGAUGGUGAGCAACUCCUUGCCAUAGAAGGCUCUGAAUAAAGCGCCUC